RNAcentral lists this non-coding RNA (29 nucleotides) under Rattus norvegicus (Norway rat). The record is from RNAcentral. Lineage: Eukaryota; Metazoa; Chordata; Mammalia; Rodentia; Muridae.
UAGGCUUUGAUCCUUGGACCAGCUUCAUC